UAUUUGUAGUCAUACGCUCGUCUCAAAGAUUAAGCCAUGCAUGUGUAAGUAUAAAUAGUUAACUUUGAAACUGCGAAUGGCUCAUUAUAUCAGUUAUAGUUUAUUUGAUGAAGAAUACUAAUUGGAUAACCGUAGUAAUUCUAGAGCUAAUACAUGUAUAAAGUCUUGUAGACUGCAUUUAUUAGAAUGAAAACCAUAGGUUUCGGCCUAUUCGUGAGUAAUAAUAACUAAUCAUAUCGUAUGCUUAUGUAACGAUGUGUCUUUCAAGUUUCUGCCCUAUCAGCUUUCGAUGGUAGUGUAUUGGACUACCAUGGCAGUAACGGGUAACGAAGAA
Molecule: ribosomal RNA, 334 nt
Filed under: Blastocystis sp. subtype 3
Lineage: Eukaryota; Bigyra; Opalinata; Blastocystidae
Description: SSU rRNA
Rfam family: Eukaryotic small subunit ribosomal RNA
Source: RNAcentral